This 253-nucleotide ribosomal RNA is filed under the name uncultured bacterium. RNAcentral's name for it is "partial 16S ribosomal RNA". It matches the Rfam family "Bacterial small subunit ribosomal RNA", at positions 524 to 776 of the family's 1533-position model. The record is from RNAcentral.
UACGGAGGGUGCGAGCGUUGUCCGGAAUCACUGGGCGUAAAGGGCUCGUAGGUGGCCAACUAAGUCAGACGUGAAAUCCCUCGGCUUAACCGGGGAGCUGCGUCUGAUACUGGAUGGCUUGAGUUCGGGAGAGGGAUGCGGAAUUCCAGGUGUAGCGGUGAAAUGCGUAGAUAUCUGGAGGAACACCGGUGGCGAAGGCGGCAUCCUGGACCGACACUGACGCUGAUGAGCGAAAGCCAGGGGAGCAAACGGG